This 6391-nucleotide long non-coding RNA is filed under the name Sus scrofa (pig). RNAcentral describes it as "lncRNA (ENSSSCG00000043113.1)". The record is from RNAcentral. Lineage: Eukaryota; Metazoa; Chordata; Mammalia; Artiodactyla; Suidae.
UUUUUUUUUUUUUGUCUUUUUGCCUUUUCUAGGGCUGCUCCCGUGGCAUAUGGAGAUUCCCAGGCUAGGGGUCCAAUCAGAGCUGUAGCUGCCAGCCUACGCCAGAGCCACAGCAACACGGGAUCCGAGCUGCAUCUGCAACCUACACCACAGCUCACGGCAAUGCCGGAUCCUUAACCCACUGAGCAAGGCCAGGGAUCGAACCUGCAACCUCAUGGUUCCUAGUCAGAUUUGUUAACCACUGCACCAAAACGGGAACUCCUCCGUAUUUCUAUUUGAAUGGGUUUAGUAUUGCUGUAGUCUUUCAGCUUUUGUUUGCUGGAGAAAUUCUGUAUUUUCCCUUCUAUUUUAAAUGAUAUUCUUGCUGGAUAGAGUAUUCUAGGUUGCAGAUUUUUUUCCUCUCAGCCCUUGAAAUCUAUCUUGCCACUCUGUUCUGGCCUGUAGGGUUUCUACAGAGAAAAAUAGCUGAUAGCCUUAUGGCUUUGCUUAUCAUUAAUGCUUUGCUUUUCUCUUGCUGCCUUUAGAAUCCUCUCUUGAUCUUUAACUUUUGCCAUUUUUCUUAUGUUUUGGCGUGGGCCUGUUUGAGUUCACCUUGUUUGGGGCCCUCUGUACUUCCUGUAUCUUCAUAUCAGUUUCCUUUAGAUUUGGAAAUUUUUCAGACAUCAUUUCUUCAAACACAUUUUCAAUCCCCCCUUUUUUUCUUCUCCUUCUAGAAUUCCUAUUAUUUGUAGAUUGGCCUGCUUUAUAUUAUCCCACAGAUAUCUUAUAUUGCUUUCAUGUUUUUUCAUUUGGUUUCCUGUCUGCUGUCCUGAUUGGGUGAUUUCCAUUAUUCUGUCUUCCAAGUCACUAAUUUCUCUGCAUCAUUCAUUCUGCUUUUUAGUGCCUUUAGCUCAGUUUGCAUCUCUGCACAUGAAUUUUCUAGUUUUUCAUGGCUCCUUCUUAUAUUUUCUAGUUCCUUUCUAAAGGAAUCUGCAUUACUAUUCAUAUCCUCUCUUAAUUCCUUGAUCAGCAUUAAUUCCUUCAGUAUUUUCACUAUCUCCCUUUUGAACUCAAUGUCUGUCAGACUUCAGAGGUCUGUUUCAUUGUUGACUUCUUUAGGUGAAUUCCUCUUUUCCUUUAACUGGGAUUGGUUUCUGAGCGUCUUCAUCUUGCUUAUGUUUUUCUUUGUCUGUGAGUUUAGGGAAGCCAAACUGUAGUCUUGCAAGGCUACUUCUAUGUAUUCUUUUUUUGUGGGGGGGAGGGUGGCUAUUUUUGGUGUGCGAGUUUGAAUAGUUUCUGUCUCUUUCUUUGGUGUGAGCAGACUGUUAUUUCCAGGACACUCAGUGUGUUUUCAGGGAGAAGGAGGAAGUGGGUAGGGCCAGCAGUCAGUGCCUGGUCAUUGGGUUCAAAACAGCAGCAAGGACCUGCAGGAAUGUGGUACAGGCUACUCAUAGUUGCAGGGUCCGAGUAAGUGGUAAUGAGCUCUAGGCAGAUCUACGAGGAGUCCAGAGCAUUUGGCAGUAGCAGCAGCAGUGUUCAAUUGCAAUGCCCUCCUCUGAGGUGAUUGGAACCACAGGUGAGGUGGUGCUUGUUCAGGGACCCCUAGUGGGAGCGGGCCAUGACUGCCUCUGGAGUCAGAGAUAACUGUGGUGGUUUGCCCCCACCACAUGCAGACCAUACAAGAAGCACCCUGUUCUGCCUAUCCCCCACAGGAGGUGCUGCGCCAGCUGCUCCUAGUUGUAGGGUCUUGGGAAGGGACAGAUGACCAUCUCUGGGUGCUGCCCAGAGCAUUUGGCAAUGGCAGCUGCAGGGCAGGUGUGUUCCCAGGGGAGUGAGAGCAAAAGUGUAUGGUGCUUGGGUGCAGUGCCCUCUUCUUUUUGCCAACCCCUGAGGUGACUGCAGGUGGAGCCCACUCACAUGUCCCCAGUGGUGGCAGGCCAUGCUUCUCUCUGGCCUCUGAGGCAACCGCUGAGGCCUGUCCCUGCUGCCUGUAGAUGGUGCAAGAGGCACCACACAGCACUCAGCCCCCUGAUGCUCUUAGGCCACACAAGAGGUGCCUGACCACUGGCAGCCUGCAGAAGAAGUGCCCAGUCUCCCUUCGAGGAGCAAGAGGCUUCUCACCGCCUGCUGGGAACCUGCACAGAGCCACCUGGUCCUCUGAGCCUGGGGCAUGGGCAGCUCUGGUGCCUGGAGCUUCCUUUGGGUCCACCCAUGCCCCUCCCUUCCCCAGCAAUGGUGCCUGGCCUCUCGUCCUGUGCUGCACAGCUGCUUAGCCCCUCAGGCUGUCCCCACAUGCCAGCCUCAGUCCUCUCCCCAGGACUCCCCUCUGGAGCCAGAGUCUCAGCACCCAGCCCCUGUCUGCGCAUCUCUGGCUGGGGUGUCCCGGCCAGUGGUUCAGAUGCAGCUCUCACUCUGCUUUGCCUUCCUCAGUCCAGCUGCUGUGCUUUUCGUGGUGACUUUGAGAUUCCUCCAUCUCAGCUUAUCUCCCUGUCAGUUAGCUGCCUUCCCAGGAGGUGGGAUCCUUUUCUCCUUCAGAGCUCCCUCUCAGGAAUGCUAGUCCCGCCCUGAUUCCUUUACCCUCUCUUUUUGUCUUUGGUUCUUCCCAGUUCUCUCAAGAGUUGCCCUUUUUGGAGGUUUAGGUUCCUCUGCCAGCAGGCAGUGGAUGUUCUGUGCGAGUCAUUGUACGUGCAGAUGUGUUUUUCUGAUGUGUUUGUGGGAGAGGGUGAGCGUGUCCUCUUAUGCUUCUGCUGUCUUGCUCCAACACUGGAUCCUUAACCCUCUGUGAUGGAACGUGCCUCCCAGGGGUCCCAAGGCGCCACCGAUCCCUUUGCACCCCAGUGUGAACUCCUUGUUCUUUUGGAUGCAGUGGUGAAUAGGGUUGUUUUCGUUCUUUUCCUGAUGGUUCAGUAUGAAUGUUUAGAAAUGCAGUGCCAGGAGUUCCCAUCGUGUUUCAGCAGAAAUGAAUCUGACUAGCACCCAUGAGGACAAAGGUUUGAUCCCUGGCUUCACUCAGUGGGUUAAGGAUCCCAUGUUGCCAUGAGCUGUGGUGUCAGUCACAGACUCGGCUCGGAUCCUGCAUUGCUGUGGCUCUGGUGUAGGCUGGCAGCUACAGCUCCAAUUAGACCCCUAACUUGGGAACCUCCACAUGCCAAGGAUACUGCCCUAAAAAGACACACACAAAAAAAGGCAAGGCUCACAGAUUUCAGCGAGUGGGGUGGUUUCGAGUGGGGAGAGAGCCCUGGGAGACCUUGAGAUAGGCUUAUCCCCACCUGCAGUGCUUCUCAGUGUACUGAGAGGGAGAGGGUUAAGGAAGUCAUGCUGGCAAAUGCCCCAAGGCCAGUGGGGACAGGGGGUCUGUAUUAGGAAACAGUAGGAAAAGUGGAGCAUUGGUCUCAGAGCACAUGGCCACCAGAUGGUGCCAGACACCAGCAGAGUCCCUCUGCAGCUCCCUGGCUGUGCCUUCAGGCUCAGAGAUGGGGUUGGAGACAGGUGGGUUGAACCUCAUGGAAGUGCCCAGGGCCUUGCACCUGGGUACAUGCAGCCUCUGAUACUCUGGCCCUCUUUGCCUCAACUCAGAGAGGGGACAUAGUUCCCCUUUCACACCUGUGGUUCCAUUCCUGUCUGGUUGGGCAGCCCAGUGCCUAGAGAGUUGGACAGGCUAUCAGGGGGCUCUGAGGGCCCUUUGAUGACUUGGAGGCAGCAUUCUUGGUCCAGAUGUACCUGGCUUGAAUCCUGGAGGUGCAGCUUCCUAGAAUCAGGCUGGCAUGGAAUUUGGCUUCUGGUCAUGAGCACAGUGUGUCCACGUGGUGGUAUUUUGGGGGCAGGCUGUGCUCAUCCCUGUGCCCUUUCUCUCCAGAGAGCUCCACACUCGCCUUCUUCCUUCUCCGUCUGAGCCUCUUCCUCCUCUGUGGCACCCUCGUUAGAAGGAAGCUACCUGAAUCCAGGUCAUGUGGAUACAAGCUGGGUGGUCCUUGAUUUGUCUGGAUCUCAGGUCUGAAGGGUGCUGAUGACUCAAAGCCUGCUCACUUGAUUUAAAAAGAGGGGUUGCUGAUUUCAGGGCAUAGGGUGGUGUCGGGUUGGGUGAGAGGCCCAGCCAACUUUGCAACUGGUAUUCAUUUUGGGGCACUGAGAGGAGCAGGUAACUCACGCUGGCAGGUGCCCAAGGCCAGUGCAGACCAAGGUUCUGCUGUGGGAGGCGGAGGGAACUCUGCACGUCCAGUCUCUGUUGAUCUUGGAGCCUGGGGGUCUAUCACUGUACUUCGCACCUUAUUGGAGUUUCCUUUCCCUUUGGCCAACAGCUCUUCUUUUAGCUCUCAGCCAUGCUUCCUGGCUUGACCUGACUGCAUUAGAGCAGUCCAUGCUAGGAGUAUCCUGCUGAUAGCUGUCUGGUUCCCAGAACAUGAAAGGCAGGUGUCUUGGUUCCCUUCUUGGGGCUCUUCAAGCAGCAUGGUUGGGAGCACAUCUUUUUGGAUGGACUGCAUCCCCUUCAGAUGCUGGGUGAGUGUCUGUGGAAAUCUGGGGGAGAACCUGACCUGAUCGGCCCAGCAGGGACCCCAGGAGCUGCAGGCCCCUCAACCCCUCUGCCAACUUCAGAAUGGCUUCCCCAGGGGAGAUGCUUCACCAGGACGAAAAACACCUUGAGAUAGCUCAGACUUGUGACAGCUUUGGUCACUAGGGGUGACUUGAGCCCGAUGCUAAGGCCACUAUGUCAACUGCCUCUCUUCCCUCUCUUUCUCUCUGAAUUUUUGGUGUCUUUCUCUCACUCUUGUUUCCACUUUCUCCCCAUUUUAUGCUCAGCCCUCUCUCUCUCUCCCUGUCUGUCUUCCUUUUGGUCUCUGUCUCCUCUGUUUUUGUUGCUGGUGGACGGUGGAAAAAGCCUCCUCUUUUUGUGGUCGCCCAGUAGAAGCACUGGAGCAUGGGGGUAGGUGGGGUUGGGGCCGGGAUGUGCAUUACAACCUGGGGAAGUGUGCAAAGUCUGUUCCCAGGGGUGAACCCAGUUUGGCCAUCCCACGUCCUAUCUGAAUGACCAGGACUCAGCUUCCCACUAGGAGCAUCUUUAGACACGGAAAGCCAGGAAGCCCAGGAGAGCCCGAGGGGUUUGAGAAGCCAAGGCAAAGACAGCUGGUCUUUCCCUCUCUUUCUUUGUUGUUUCAGGUGCAACCCUGAUCAUGCAGAACCCAGAGUCCUACAAGGCAGGGAGAGCAGAGCACGACGAUGCGUGGACAAUGGAAAGGUGUGACAACGCAUUCUGGGGAGGGGAAAAGUGUUAACCUUGGGAUUCACUCUCAGAUUUUGGAAUAGAGAAAAUACUCUUGCCACCCAAUUCUGCAGCACCACAUCUUCCUUCUGUGGACAAAGAAAUGUUUCUCUUGGCCUUUGCCGAAAAAUCUGCACGUUCAUGCCUUCUCUCAUGUUUCCUAUCUCUGCCUUCCAUACUUGGGUAUGCCAUUCUUUAUCCUCCCAAGGGAUCCAUUAACACAAAACACACUUGCUUUGCAAUCAAAGUGUACUUUAUUAAAAUUACUUUUACAGUUUUUAUCUGUGUCUCAUUCGGUGUCACUCUACAUGUUUUAAAAAUACCAACUCCAGGCAUGGGAUAUAAAGAAACAUGUCAGAGACAUGAGGAGGGAAAAGGUGAGAUAUGGAUGUUCCAGCAGCCAGGGUCUGGGCAUGCAAGGCUCGGCCAACCAUGUCAUCCUGAAAGAGGGAGCGUGACAGAGUUCCCAUGGUCAAAGGUACAAACCGACAUGAGGCCACAGAAUCCUUGGAAAGAAACUGGCUUGAGGGCAGUUGGUCAGGACUAAAUCCACAGUCCCCUUCUUCAGUCAGGACUGAUGCGGGUGACAGGACAGGGGGUGGACACUAGGGUGACUGCCUGACUCCAGUGCAUUAAGUUCUACCUCUGCUUAAGGGGGCUUUCCUAUACCUGUGUUUAUUUUAUCGAAAACUAGUUUUAAAAAAAGCAAAUGGAUAGGUAACAAUUAUUUAAUACACAAUCUUACAUUCUACCAAAAUCUUAUAUACCAAGUAGUAAACAUGUAUCAGAACUUAAUACUAAAUCUAGACAAUAAAGAACUAAGCUUAUACUAAAGUUGGCUCGUAAUAGAUGAAGAGUGAGGUCAAUCUUGUAUCCUGGUCAAGAUGGAAACUUUUGGACUCUUCCAGUCCCAGGCUGAGGCUUCAAGGUGUCCCAGAGGAGUCUGCAACACAAACACAGGGAUGCCAUCACCGAGGAGGUGCAGAGUCAGAUGGAAGGAGGGCUCCCCUGGGUGGAUGUGUGGGUCCGUCAGGCUCCUCAGGGCCUGGAACUCCCCAGGGCUCAGAUCCCCGUGGCACUGCCGUCUAUGCUGUGCUUAGCUGAGGAGGUUUUCUGUUAGCAAAGAGGGAAUACAAUUGUCCUCCAGGAGCGAGU